Molecule: ribosomal RNA, 483 nt
Filed under: uncultured bacterium
Lineage: Bacteria
Description: partial 16S ribosomal RNA
Rfam family: Bacterial small subunit ribosomal RNA
Source: RNAcentral
AUUGAACGCUGGCGGCAUGCUUUACACAUGCCAGUCGAACGGCAGCACGGGGGCAGCCCUGGUGGCGAGUGGCGAACGGGUGAGUAAUACAUCGGAACGUGCCCGGUCGUGGGGGAUAACGUAGCGAAAGUUACGCUAAUACCGCAUACGAUCUGAGGAUGAAAGCGGGGGACCUUCGGGCCUCGCGCGAUCGGAGCGGCCGAUGUCAGAUUAGGUAGUUGGUGGGGUAAAGGCCUACCAAGCCGACGAUCUGUAGCUGGUCUGAGAGGACGACCAGCCACACUGGGACUGAGACACGGCCCAGACUCCUACGGGAGGCAGCAGUGGGGAAUUUUGGACAAUGGGCGCAAGCCUGAUCCAGCCAUUCCGCGUGCAGGACGAAGGCCUUCGGGUUGUAAACUGCUUUUGUACGGAACGAAAAGGCUCUGGCUAAUACCUGGGGCUCAUGACGGUACCGUAAGAAUAAGCACCGGCGAACUACGU